This 1238-nucleotide long non-coding RNA is filed under the name Gallus gallus (chicken). RNAcentral's name for it is "lncRNA (ENSGALG00010000541.1)". Lineage: Eukaryota; Metazoa; Chordata; Aves; Galliformes; Phasianidae. The record is from RNAcentral.
AGGGCACGUGGGGAGCUGUUUGCGGAUAGAAUGGAGGAUGUGGGGUGGUGUUGGAGUGCACUGGUUGAUUUCUUCCUCAGAGGGGAUUGGGGUUCCCUGUGGCCCAAAGGUGGAGCCCUGAUCCAUAACCCCACGUGAGCCCCGAACGCCAUAUAACUCGGCGUGAGCCCAAGGCUCCCCAUGACCCAUAACCCUGUGAGCACCGUAAGCCCAUAUGAGGCUGAGGGCAGUGAUGGGUCUGUUACUGGCUAGGUCAGGAGGGUGGCUCUGGGGCCGCUGUUGUAUAGCACUCUACAUCUGCCCCUGACCCUCAUCUAGCCCACAUCUUGGGGGGUAAGAUGAGGGUGCAGGGGUUAGUGGAGGGCUAAGGAAGAGAUUCCAUGAGUAUGAACCAUAGCAGCCUCAGAGCCAUCCUAGAGCAGCGCCAUCACUGCCCGCGGCCCGUGGCCAGCAGCAGUUCUCCUGGUUGCUGUGUUGUUACUUCACUCUCCUCAGUGAGUUCCUUCUGCUCCCAUAGUUCUCCUCCUGUGGCACUCACUGCUCUCCUGUUCCCCCUUGGCUAAGGACUGCAGGCUCACAGUCUCCGCCACGCAUCCGCUGUGCAGUUUUUCCAGAGCAGGUCUAUGGCCAAGCUGCUCCUUUUGGGCUGAUUGUGUGCUUUUCUAUGCAGACAGGCAGGCAGGAUUUCUUGCAGCUGUCGUACGUGCUGGGUCUCAUGCUCCGUCCUGCACCUGUGCCUUAUCUCGUGUGCACUCUCCACCUCCCCCUGCCAUAACAGGUCGGGUGAUUUCCAGCAGCACACAGCUGGCACACCGAGCCACUCUGACCACGUACGGCAGCAGCCCGCCCCAUGGCUUCCUUGGGGCAGCCGUGGGGCUGUACCACCCUGAGGAGGCGAUGACUUUUCCCCACACACAGCUGGUUCUCUGGCCACACGGGGUGAGGAUGUGGGGUUGGGGGUCACAUGGCUGUCCUGCAGAGUCAGAGUGUUAUGGGGUUUUGUGGGGUUCUGGGUUAGAUGGGGUUCUGGGUUGCUGUGAUGAGGUCAGAUGAGAUGGUAGGGUCAGAUGGGGUGACAUGGAGUUCUGUGGUCACAUGUGUUUCUAUGGUCGAGUUGAGGUGGGGGCAGGGAUCCCAGAGUUCUGGGGCCACAUGGCAUCGGGUCGCAGCGUGAUGGGGGCAGGUAGGGUCAGGGAGUCACAGGGUCAUGUGGGGGUGUGGUUCACCCAGGGUUGUGG